UCGCCCUCAGGGGAUGCGAGCUCCUCGACGCAAGGCUGCAGGGGCCGCGCGGGCCUCGUGCUGCUCCUGCUCCUCGAGGAUAGGGGCGGCGAGCUCCUCGAUGGAGGGCUGCAGGGGCCGCAGCCCGCGGGGACCUCGGCACCUCGCCCUGCUCCUGCACGCUCCCGGUCUACCAUAGAUCUGCAUCCACCAUCACCAGAUCUGCCCAUCUCUCCAACCUCACUGGGUCACCACAGCCUCCAAGCUCGUCAUCUUAAGCGACCUUGUGAAGAGAUUGUGCAGUGUUUGACGAACUAGUAGAGGAUCUCACCUGGAAGGUCGCCAAAUGAAAGCAAGGUAUCGAGUUUCUUCCUCUUCCAGUUCACAAGUAUUUCACUGAUUCACAAAUUUGUAUGCUUUUGAUUUUUAGUUUA
Long non-coding RNA from Panicum virgatum (switchgrass), 413 nucleotides. RefSeq lists it as uncharacterized. Lineage: Eukaryota; Viridiplantae; Streptophyta; Magnoliopsida; Poales; Poaceae. The transcript has 3 exons. The record is from RefSeq and is a predicted model, not a curated record.